UCAUACAUCAAUCAAUUGGUUCCAGAUUUUAACAACAAUUACAGUAAUUAAAGAGUUUAACAUACUCAUUCAUUUACCAAUACUCAAAUAUUUAGGUGAGUUGGUUCCUGAUUACCUGCCGCAGGUGCCAGGUUUGCAUAGGAUAGUACAACAAACUAACAGUAAGGGAAAGGGUCUAACAAAAAUGGAAGUUCAUAACAGACUCUAUUGAGUCUGUAAGGCAAUACAAGAAAUGAGAUAACAAUUACGGUGAUGACAAGAUUCUGUACGCUCAUGAGUUCCUAAGUGAAACAGAUUGUGUUGCUGAUAAUUGUCCAAGCUAACUCAUAACCGAAUUCGUAACCAAAUUUUGACAGAAUGGAAGGGGAGAGAAUUGUGGGAUUUAAGAUGGUUCAAGGACCGAUUGAGAAUGGUGUUGAAGGAGGCAAAUUUGUUGUGCAUGAACAUGAGAAUGGAAAGCUGGAACAAGAUAUGGGAGCUGGUGAGGCCAUCAAAUUUGGCUCACAUGGAGAUGAAUCUGCUAAAGGGGAAGCUAACUAAGUUACUGAUUCCAAUACCCCGAAGAGCACUGCUGAAGACUGGCCUGCACCUAAGCAGAUUCUGAUGGAGGAGAUACAGGGAGAUCAGUUCCUUAUUCUCCUGUCUGAUGCACUUCACAAGACCUUUCAACUUUAGAGAUUACCAAGAGAUUGCAUAUCAAAU
Vicia villosa (hairy vetch) is the source of this 702-nucleotide long non-coding RNA. RefSeq lists it as uncharacterized. The record is from RefSeq and is a predicted model, not a curated record. The transcript has 3 exons. Lineage: Eukaryota; Viridiplantae; Streptophyta; Magnoliopsida; Fabales; Fabaceae.